RNAcentral lists this long non-coding RNA (243 nucleotides) under Homo sapiens (human). RNAcentral's name for it is "HSALNT0213223". Lineage: Eukaryota; Metazoa; Chordata; Mammalia; Primates; Hominidae. The record is from RNAcentral.
CAGGCUGGUCCCCAAGGCCCGCGGCCGCCGCCAUGUCGGUGCUGGGCGAGAGGGAACCUGUAUGACAAAAUCCUUCGUCAGAAGGACAAGUUGUUUGAGGAAGAGAUGGUGGUGUGGUACCUAUUUCAGAUUGUUUCAGCAGUGAGCUGCAUCCAUAAAGCUGGAAUCCUUCAUAGAGAUAUAAAGACAUUAAAUAUUUUUCUGACCAAGGCAAACCUGAUAAAACUUGGAGAUUAUGGCCUA